Acanthosepion pharaonis is the source of this 112-nucleotide non-coding RNA. Lineage: Eukaryota; Metazoa; Mollusca; Cephalopoda; Sepiida; Sepiidae. The record is from the annotation of a GenBank genome assembly.
GGGGCCAUAUCAUGUUGAAACACUGGUUCUCAUAUGAUCACUGAAGUUAAGCAAUAUUGAACCUGGUCAGUACCUAGAUGGGUGACCACUUGGGAAUACCAGGUGCUGUAAG